RNAcentral lists this non-coding RNA (204 nucleotides) under Paenibacillus stellifer. RNAcentral describes it as "Azaaromatic sequence". It matches the Rfam family "azaaromatic riboswitch aptamer (yjdF RNA)". Lineage: Bacteria; Bacillati; Bacillota; Bacilli; Caryophanales; Paenibacillaceae. The record is from Rfam by way of RNAcentral.
AAAGUGAAACGUAAAAGCACGGUUCCGGUCGGUAGUCUGGACGCACGGCCUGACAGAAUCGCGGGCGGCGGCACCGCGCGCUGCUUCAGGCGCACGCUGCCAUUGUAUGACAGUGGUCGACCACCACAUGGUCUCCGCACCAUUUCAGAUCAGGCCGUGUCAGUAACCUUCCCCCUCGGGAUGUCCGUCGUUUCGUAUUUCUUG